RNAcentral lists this transfer RNA (278 nucleotides) under Listeria monocytogenes. RNAcentral describes it as "partial 16S-23S ribosomal RNA intergenic spacer". The stretch from base 119 to 191 matches the Rfam family "tRNA". The record is from RNAcentral. Lineage: Bacteria; Bacillati; Bacillota; Bacilli; Caryophanales; Listeriaceae.
UUCUAUAGGCCAGCUGGUUAGAGCGCACGCCUGAUAAGCGUGAGGUCGAUGGUUCGAGUCCAUUUAGGCCCACUUUUUCUUUCUGACAUAAGAAAUACAAAUAAUCAUACCCUUUUACGGGGCCUUAGCUCAGCUGGGAGAGCGCCUGCUUUGCACGCAGGAGGUCAGCGGUUCGAUCCCGCUAGGCUCCACCAAAAUUGUUCUUUGAAAACUAGAUAAGAAAGUUAGUAAAGUUAGCAUAGAUAAUUUAUUAUUUAUGACACAAGUAACCCGAGAAA